GUGCUCAUAUCAGCAGCACAUAUACUAAAGUUUAAAUGAUAUAGAGGAGAUUAGCUUGGACCUGAGCAAGAUUGGCAUACAAAUUCAUGAGGUGGUUCAUAUUAAA
Molecule: small nuclear RNA, 106 nt
Filed under: Dasypus novemcinctus (nine-banded armadillo)
Lineage: Eukaryota; Metazoa; Chordata; Mammalia; Cingulata; Dasypodidae
Source: RNAcentral